GGAGGGGUGGCCGAGUGGCUGAAGGCGCACGCUUGGAAAGCGUGUAACCGGGAAACUGGUUCGCGGGUUCGAAUCCCGCCCCCUCCGCCA
This 90-nucleotide transfer RNA is filed under the name Alphaproteobacteria bacterium. RNAcentral describes it as "tRNA-Ser". It matches the Rfam family "tRNA". From Rfam's summary of the family: Transfer RNA (tRNA) molecules are approximately 80 nucleotides in length. Their secondary structure includes four short double-helical elements and three loops (D, anti-codon, and T loops). Lineage: Bacteria; Pseudomonadati; Pseudomonadota; Alphaproteobacteria. The record is from RNAcentral.